RNAcentral lists this unclassified non-coding RNA (214 nucleotides) under uncultured Tremellales. Its description in RNAcentral is "sequence contains 5.8S rRNA gene, ITS2, 28S rRNA gene". The stretch from base 1 to 52 matches the Rfam family "5.8S ribosomal RNA", at positions 103 to 154 of the family's 154-position model. Lineage: Eukaryota; Fungi; Basidiomycota; Tremellomycetes; Tremellales. The record is from RNAcentral.
AACGCACAUUGCGCCUUUUGGUAUUCCGAAAGGCAUGCCUGUUUGAGUGUCAUAAGACCUCUCAUACCUAGUUUUCUAUGUAUGAGCUUUGGACGCUGCCAUCCGUGGCUCGUCUUAAAUGUCUAAGUGGAAUGCGUAAUAAGUUUUCGCUCCCUCCACUCUAAUAACUUUUAUGCUUGACCUCAAAUCAGGUAGGACUACCCGCUGAACUUAA